Molecule: long non-coding RNA, 332 nt
Organism: Labeo rohita (rohu)
Lineage: Eukaryota; Metazoa; Chordata; Actinopteri; Cypriniformes; Cyprinidae
Exons: 3
Source: RefSeq, a predicted model, not a curated record
UUUAUUUACGGACAUAUGCCAUGUCGCGCACUCUCACGUUUGAUCUAAAAAGCAGCUGCCCUCACGUUUAGCUGCAGCAGUCAGGACAGCAACUAGCUUCUGAUCUUUCAGAACACACAAAUAUUUGGAGAUGAUGGCUGAAAGGAGAAUACAGUCCAAGCUCCCAUCACAAAAAAACAUAACUUAUCCACACAGUGGGACUGUUACUUCAUGGCUGAUGAUACGUAGAAAUCACACUGCUUCCAUGCUAUAUCAAAUGGCAUUGGUGACAUAAUUUUUCAUCAUGUAUUCCCUUGAGCUACAAAAGAAGAGUGGUUUUGACAUCAUACAAG